RNAcentral lists this ribosomal RNA (314 nucleotides) under uncultured Spirotrichea. RNAcentral describes it as "SSU rRNA". It matches the Rfam family "Eukaryotic small subunit ribosomal RNA", at positions 155 to 469 of the family's 1831-position model. The record is from RNAcentral. Lineage: Eukaryota; Ciliophora; Spirotrichea.
AUUCUAGAGCUAAUACAUGCUUUAAAGCCCGACUUCUCGGAAGGGCCGUAUUUAUUAGAUAACAGACCAAUAUUCCUCGUGUCUAUUGUGGUGAGUCAUAGUAACUUUUCGGAUCGCAUGGGCUUUGUCCCGCGACAAACCAUUCAAGUUUCUGCCCCAUCAGCUUUCGAUGGUAGUGUAUUGGACUACCAUGGCUUUCACGGGUAACGGAGGAUUAGGGUUCGAUUCCGGAGAGGGAGCCUGAGAAACGGCUACCACUUCUAAGGAAGGCAGCAGGCGCGUAAAUUACCCAAUUCUAAUUCAGAGAGGUAGUG